UACAGAGGUGGCAAGCGUUGUUCGGAAUUACUGGGCGUAAAGGGCGCGUAGGCGGCCUGGCAAGUGGAUGGUGAAAUCCCUCGGCUUAACCGAGGAACUGCCAUCCAGACUGCUUGGCUUGAGACCGGGAGAGGUGAGUGGAAUUCCCAGUGUAGCGGUGAAAUGCGUAGAUAUUGGGAGGAACACCAGUGGCGAAGGCGGCUCACUGGACCGGUACUGACGCUGAGGCGCGAAAGCGUGGGGAGCAAACGGG
Molecule: ribosomal RNA, 253 nt
Filed under: uncultured bacterium
Lineage: Bacteria
Description: partial 16S ribosomal RNA
Rfam family: Bacterial small subunit ribosomal RNA
Source: RNAcentral